Molecule: ribosomal RNA, 253 nt
Filed under: uncultured bacterium
Lineage: Bacteria
Description: partial 16S ribosomal RNA
Rfam family: Bacterial small subunit ribosomal RNA
Source: RNAcentral
UACGUAGGGGGCAAGCGUUGUCCGGAAUUAUUGGGCGUAAAGAGCUUGUAGGCGGUUUGUCGCGUCUGCCGUGAAAAUCCGAGGCUCAACCUCGGACUUGCGGUGGGUACGGGCAGACUAGAGUGUGGUAGGGGAGACUGGAAUUCCUGGUGUAGCGGUGAAAUGCGCAGAUAUCAGGAGGAACACCAGUGGCGAAGGCGGUGCUCUGGGCCGGAACUGACGCUGAGGAGCGAAAGCGUGGGGAGCAAACAGG